AAUCUUGCGCAAUGGGUGAAAGCCUGACGCAGCCAUGCCGCGCGAAUGCUGCAGGUCGUUGGAUUGUAAAAUUCUUUCACCGGGGACGAUAAAGACGGUCCCCGGAGAAGAAGCCCCGGCCAACUUCGUGUCAGCAGCCGCGGUAAUACGAAGGGGGCUAGCGUUGCUCGGAAUUACUGGGCGUAAAGGGCGCGUAGGCGGACAUUUAAGGCAGGGGUGAAAUCCCAGAGCUCAACUCUGGAACUGCCUUUGAUACUGGGUGUCUUGAGUGUGAGAGAGGUAUGUGGAACUCCGAGUGUAGAGGUGAAAUUCGUAGAUAUUCGGAAGAACACCAGUGGCGAAGGCGACAUACUGGCUCAUUACUGACGCUGAGGCGCGAAAGCGUGGGGAGCAAACA
This 397-nucleotide ribosomal RNA is filed under the name uncultured bacterium. RNAcentral describes it as "partial 16S ribosomal RNA". It matches the Rfam family "Bacterial small subunit ribosomal RNA", at positions 360 to 774 of the family's 1533-position model. The record is from RNAcentral.